RNAcentral lists this ribosomal RNA (427 nucleotides) under uncultured bacterium. RNAcentral describes it as "partial 16S ribosomal RNA". It matches the Rfam family "Bacterial small subunit ribosomal RNA", at positions 355 to 774 of the family's 1533-position model. The record is from RNAcentral.
UGGGGAAUAUUGGACAAUGGGCGAAAGCCUGAUCCAGCCAUGCCGCAUGUGUGAAGAAGGUCUUCGGAUUGUAAAGCACUUUAAGUUGGGAGGAAGGGCAUUAACCUAAUACGUUAGUGUUUUGACGUUACCGACAGAAUAAGCACCGGCUAACUCUGUGCCAGCAGCCGCGGUAAUACAGAGGGUGCAAGCGUUAAUCGGAAUUAAUGGGCGUAAAGCGCGCGUAGGUGGUUUGUUAAGUUGGAUGUGAAAGCCCCGGGCUCAACCUGGGAACUGCAUCCAAAACUGGCAAGCUAGAGUACGGUAGAGGGUGGUGGAAUUUCCUGUGUAGCGGUGAAAUGCGUAGAUAUAGGAAGGAACACCAGUGGCGAAGGCGACCACCUGGACUGAUACUGACACUGAGGUGCGAAAGCGUGGGGAGCAAACA